CUCCGGGUAGUUCAGCGGCAGAAUGGCUGCGCGACAUGCAGCAGGUCGGCGGUUCGAUCCCGUCUCCGGAGACCA
RNAcentral lists this transfer RNA (75 nucleotides) under Planctomycetota bacterium. RNAcentral describes it as "tRNA-Val". It matches the Rfam family "tRNA". Rfam says of the family: Transfer RNA (tRNA) molecules are approximately 80 nucleotides in length. Their secondary structure includes four short double-helical elements and three loops (D, anti-codon, and T loops). The record is from RNAcentral. Lineage: Bacteria; Pseudomonadati; Planctomycetota.